AGGGAGCUAGUCCAAACACAAGACCUCUGAUUUCGGCUCAGAAAACCACGGUUAAAGUCCGUGACUCCCUU
RNAcentral lists this transfer RNA (71 nucleotides) under Horabagrus brachysoma (Gunther's catfish). RNAcentral's name for it is "tRNA-Arg". It matches the Rfam family "tRNA". Rfam says of the family: Transfer RNA (tRNA) molecules are approximately 80 nucleotides in length. Their secondary structure includes four short double-helical elements and three loops (D, anti-codon, and T loops). Lineage: Eukaryota; Metazoa; Chordata; Actinopteri; Siluriformes; Bagridae. The record is from RNAcentral. RNAcentral also lists the same sequence under 1 other name.